This 3055-nucleotide long non-coding RNA is filed under the name Sus scrofa (pig). RNAcentral's name for it is "lncRNA (ENSSSCG00060009869.1)". The record is from RNAcentral. Lineage: Eukaryota; Metazoa; Chordata; Mammalia; Artiodactyla; Suidae.
CAGCUUUCAAAAACAUUUGGAAAAAAAAAUACGGGGGAAAAACAAUAACCCCAGUACUCAACUGCAUAGAGUCUGUGAGUCCUAAGUCUGUGUAUUUUCUACGUGUUUAGGAAUGGAGUGCAAGUUCCCUUUUUUCCUUAACCAUUUAUGUGUUACACACACAUGCACACACUCAUUCAGUCAUUCUUUCAUCUUGUUUGCUUUUAAAGACUGUCUCCUCAUUCUCUUGGUUUCUUGGACACAAAUGAGCGGGCUGGAGUUCCCAUUUUGGCUCAUGUUAAAAACCUAACACAGUGUCCAUGAGGAUUUGUUUCCUGGCCUCCCUCGGAGGGUUAAUGAUCUGGCUUUACCACAAGUUGCGGCACAGGUUGCAGAUGCUGCUCAGAUCUGGGGUUGCUGUGGCUGUGGCCUUGGCUGUGGCGUAGUCUAGCAGCUGCAGCUCAUAUUUGACCCCUAGCCUGGGAACUUCCAUAUGCCACGGAUGCAGUCAUAUAAAAGAAAAAAAAAUGAGUGGCACGUGACAUGUGCUCCUUUCCAGGCUUUUGUCCAUAUGUGUAUGACGUUUCAUAGUUGCAUCAUACUGUGUAUACAAUUUCCUAUCCUUUUUUGGGAGGGGCAUGUAAUAUAAAACCAUAAGCACUAUUUCCAUGUUGCUGCAUAACCUUUGUAAUUCAGUCUAGGGAGUUUUGGUGUCUAACAGAUCUGGGGGCAGACGUACUAAUAUCAUUUAGUAGUUGUAUUACCUUGGAGGAUUAACCAGUCCGGGAAUCACUGUAUCCCUAAAAUAGGGUUAACAGUAUUUGCCUUGUGCUGUCAGGAGAAAUAAAUGAGUUAUGGGAUGCAAAAUCUUGAUUCUGGCUUGUACUAAAUAUCCAAUAAAUUUUAGCAAAAAAUAACCUUCACAAAAUAUAAAUGUUUAGAUGGUACACUAUCUAUCCCAUGAAGCAGAAAAUGGAAGUUAUAUUUGAAAUAUAAUCGCUGUAGCAUAUGAUGAAAUGCUUAUUGAGCACCUAAAAUCUUGUUUAAGUCCAGUUUGGCAACAUAAACUUAUAUCAAAUCAUCAUGUUGAACACCUUAAAUGUGCAUAACAUUUUCGGUCAAACGUAUCUCAGUAAAGCUGGAAAGGUAAUUCCAGUUUCAGCCACUUGAUUCUGAAACUCAUCUAUUGUCCCAGAGGGCAGUGGCCUAAUUACAGCCCUUUCACUGUUCAGUCUCUCUGUAUUCUUUCCUUCCUUCACUCUGGAUACACAUUGCUCCUAAUAAAAAUAUUCACCUGCUGGCCUUUAUGUUUACAUUGAGAAUAUUCAUGGGCUGCUCCCUAGGUAUUUGUGUGAUAGUCAAUAUUGCAUGCAAUGUGAAAUAGAAUUUCAGGACGUUUGCAUAACAGGAAAAUAAGUGAUUAAGCACCCAAUAAAUGAAUAGAGGCUUUGCAGAGAUCAAACAUUUGUUAAUGAAGAAGUUGUCAACAUUACAAGUUCUGUUUGAUUUCUUGUAUUACUUGUGAAACCAAGGAAACAGGAAGAAUGAAUUCUGCUGAUCACUGCAGAGAGAGAGAAGUGUUUUAGCCAGAGGUUUUUUUUUUUGUUUGUUUGUUUGUUUGUUUUACUAAAGGUCUGGUUGGGCUUUGUUUUGUUUUGCUUUGAAAAGGGAAAGAGUGUUACAACUGGGAUAAUAUAUUGGGCAAAGUGCUUAACUGUAGCCUGGAGAAUCCACCUUUGCAAAUUUGAGCAGAAAAGCAAUUGGUGAGAGGAUAUUAGGUAGUUCACGGAACUGGUAGGGUCUGAUGAUCCAACAAUAAAUCUGAACAUCCAUGAGCAAUAGCCAACCACUCUUUCCUAAGCAGAAAUACCACUGACACUAGCUCAUGUCACUUAUGAUGCUCAGGACUAGAUUCCAGAAACACUGCCACUCCCUGCCCCCCAAGAACGGGAUCCUUCCACCACCUGGCUUGACAAAAGAGCAGUAUUCCUAGGAACACCUGCCUCCCAGGGUUCCCUUCAGAUCUGUCUCCCAAGGAUAGCCUGAUUAGAAGAAGCUGGGUCGUGCCUGCCCCCUAAUGCAGGGAAUCUGGGAAUACAGGUUUCCUGGCUUCCUCUUUGGGAAGGUGAGACAUGCAAUGUGGGGAAUUAUCAUAAUGUCCAGAAAGUGCUCAGACAUGGCAGGUAGCUCAAGUGAUGAAUGUGCAAUACAGGCUUAGUUAUUUUGAGUGUUCUAUUUACUCUUAUUGUGGAUUUCUGUGCGUUUGGAUAAAUUUCCUGCUACCAAAUACUUUUCAGCUCUCUUCACAUUCCUCAAAGCCCAGGAUUGUUCAAACCCUUUGCUGCCACAAAGACAACUUGCCAUUCAUGAAACAUGGGCCUUGCUUCCCCCAUUCCUCCCCUCACCAGCAUACCCAGUGUUAACACGGAAUAUUGAGGUGAUGGAGAUAAAACUGACAAAAAAAAAUUGUGUGUGUGUAAGAAUGAGAUAUCACAUAUUGCCAUGGAGGAACUUAUGACCUCAUUUCUGGUUUAUGGUUAGAUAUUAUUAUAACAAAAGAAAAAGGAGUAAACUGUUUCUUAGAAAUUUGAUGGCAGAAGAGGGAAAUAGGCUAGAUAGGUAAGAUAAUUAGAAAAUGUCUCAUAAUGCAAGAAAAAUAUUUGUUUCUACCAUUAUUAGGCAUGUGUGUCUAAGGCAGAAUGCUAAUUACUCUAAUUGGAAAUAUAAUGAUUAAAAUGGUCAUUGUUUCCAAAUAAUAACUGUAGUUGGGAGAAAAACAAGUCUGUCUUUCAGUAGUAUAUUUAGACACCUUAUCAAUCUUUGACAUUCAAGGAAAGAAGGAUUUAAUAUGUUCUGUUAAGUCUAAUUGUAGGCCAAAUAAUUAGUGUAUGGAGAGAAUUAAUGAAGAUAUGCCAAGGUAAUCACAAUGUUUGAAUAACUGAUUUUACUAAUGAUGAAUUUCUUACUGAAUCAUUUGUAUGCACUGAAAGAAUCCUAAUACUGUUUAAUAAAAUUUAUACCAUCUUUUAAUAUUAUAUAGUAUAUUUUUUGGAUAAAAUAUAGAAAUAUAGAUAAG